GAUGAACGCUGGCGGCGUGCCUAACACAUGCAAGUCGAACGGAGAUUCCGGACGGAAGUUUUCGGAUGGAAGACUGUAAUUCUUAGUGGCGGACGGGUGAGUAACGCGUGGGCAACCUGCCCUAUACAGGGGGAUAGCAGCUGGAAACGGCUGGUAAGACCGCAUAAGUCGGCGAGACCGCAUGGUUUUGCCGGGAAAUGAGCAAUCAGGUAUAGGAUGGGCCCGCGUCCGAUUAGCCAGUUGGCAGGGUAAAAGCCUACCAAAGCAACGAUCGGUAGCCGGACGGGAAGGUCGGCCGGCAACAUUGGAACGGAGCACCGGCCCAAACUCCUACGGGGGGAAGAAGUGGGGGAUAUGGAAAAAUGAAGGAAACUCUAAUGAGGCGCGGCGGGGGAGGGAAGGAAGAAUUUGGUUAGGAAAGGCCCAAUAAGCAGGAAGGUGGAGGACGGAACUGGCCUAGGAGGCCCGGCUAACUACGUG
Molecule: ribosomal RNA, 480 nt
Filed under: uncultured bacterium
Lineage: Bacteria
Description: partial 16S ribosomal RNA
Rfam family: Bacterial small subunit ribosomal RNA
Source: RNAcentral